UAGGGAAUCUUCGGCAAUGGACGAAAGUCUGACCGAGCAACGCCGCGUGAGUGAAGAAGGUUUUCGGAUCGUAAAACUCUGUUGUUAGAGAAGAACAAGGACGUUAGUAACUGAACGUCCCCGGACGGUAUCUAACCAGAAAGCCACGGCUAAUUACGUGCAAGCAGCCGCGGUAAUACGUAGGUGGCAAGAGUUGUCCGGAUUUAUUGGGCGUAAAGCGAGCGCAGGCGGUUUCUUAAGUCUGAUGUGAAAGCCCCCGGCUCAACCGGGGAGGGUCAUUGGAAACUGGGAGACUUGAGUGCAGAAGAGGAGAGUGUAAUUCCCUGUGUAGCGGUGAAAUGCGUAGAUAUAUGGAGGAACACCAGUGGCGAAGGCGGCUCUCUGGUCUGUAACUGACGCUGAGGCUCGAAAGCGUGGGGAGCAAACAGG
RNAcentral lists this ribosomal RNA (429 nucleotides) under Gemmatimonadota bacterium. RNAcentral describes it as "Gemmatimonadetes bacterium partial 16S ribosomal RNA". It matches the Rfam family "Bacterial small subunit ribosomal RNA", at positions 355 to 776 of the family's 1533-position model. Lineage: Bacteria; Pseudomonadati; Gemmatimonadota. The record is from RNAcentral.